Molecule: ribosomal RNA, 274 nt
Filed under: uncultured bacterium
Lineage: Bacteria
Description: partial 16S ribosomal RNA
Rfam family: Bacterial small subunit ribosomal RNA
Source: RNAcentral
AUACGGAGGGUGCAAGCGUUACUCGGAAUCACUGGGCGUAAAGCGCGCGCAGGCGGUCUUUUAAGAUGGAUGUGAAAGCCUACGGCUCAACCGUAGAACUGCAUCCAAAACUAUUAGACUAGAGUGUGGGAGAGGAAGAUGGAAUUAGUUGUGUAGGGGUAAAAUCCGUAGAGAUAACUAGGAAUACCAAAAGCGAAGGCGAUCUUCUGGAACAGUACUGACGCUGAGGCGCGAAAGCGUGGGGAGCAAACAGGAUUAGAAACCCUUGUAGUCC